RNAcentral lists this non-coding RNA (19 nucleotides) under Arabidopsis thaliana (thale cress). The record is from RNAcentral. Lineage: Eukaryota; Viridiplantae; Streptophyta; Magnoliopsida; Brassicales; Brassicaceae.
UAAAGAAGUGAAGAGGGAA